CCUACGGGUGGCUGCAGUGGGGAAUAUUGGACAAUGGGCGAAAGCCUGAUCCAGCCAUGCCGCGUGUGUGAAGAAGGCCUUCGGGUUGUAAAGCACUUUCAGUGGGGAAGAAAGCCUUGGGGCUAAUACCCUCGAGGAAGGACAUCACCCACAGAAGAAGCACCGGCUAACUCCGUGCCAGCAGCCGCGGUAAUACGGAGGGUGCGAGCGUUAAUCGGAAUUACUGGGCGUAAAGCGCGCGUAGGCGGUCUGAUAAGCCGGUUGUGAAAGCCCCGGGCUCAACCUGGGAACGGCAUCCGGAACUGUCAGGCUAGAGUGAAGGAGAGGAAGGUAGAAUUCCCGGUGUAGCAGUGAAAUGCGUAGAGAUCGGGAGGAAUACCAGUGGCGAAGGCGGCCUUCUGGACUGACACUGACGCUGAGGUGCGAAAGCGUGGGUAGCGAACAGGAUUAGAUACCCCAGUAGUC
RNAcentral lists this ribosomal RNA (465 nucleotides) under Vreelandella stevensii. RNAcentral's name for it is "partial 16S ribosomal RNA". It matches the Rfam family "Bacterial small subunit ribosomal RNA", at positions 338 to 795 of the family's 1533-position model. The record is from RNAcentral. Lineage: Bacteria; Pseudomonadati; Pseudomonadota; Gammaproteobacteria; Oceanospirillales; Halomonadaceae.